Long non-coding RNA from Xiphophorus maculatus (southern platyfish), 719 nucleotides. RefSeq lists it as uncharacterized. The record is from RefSeq and is a predicted model, not a curated record. NCBI's taxonomy places the organism in Eukaryota, Metazoa, Chordata, Actinopteri, Cyprinodontiformes, Poeciliidae. The transcript is spliced from 4 exons.
UUGUCAAAGAAAGAAAAGACAAUAAAGGACUUCCUUGGGUCCAGAGGGGUGGAUAUUCCAGGAAGUGAUGCUGUCCAGGUGAUUAGUGGAAUCGCAAAAUUCUUCAAGGAGAAACCAGCCCAACUAUUUUGUCAAAAUGAGCUGCUGCAUCCAGAGAGUCCUGAUCUUGACCUGCCAAGCACCCCAUGCAUCUUUAUAAUGGGUGAACAGCUUUUUAAAGUUGCUGUUGACCAAAUGAUUGUGAAUGACCACAUCAAGUCACCCAUCGCUGCCCUAAGCUACGCCUUCUCCAUGUUUUAUGUCUUGAACAUAAAAUAUCCAAAAGACAUGUCCCUGACACUGGAAUUUAUACAAAGAGUCUUUCUGGGCUUAAACCCCAAACGAGGGUCAAAGGCUGAAAUGAAGGGGAAGAAGCAUCAUCACAUUCCACCCCGACUGCUCAAGUUUGUAAAUGAACUGUAUGACUUUGACAGUCCAUGGAAAAUUUGAUUCUUGUAAAAGGUGAUGCUUCAUAAUGUUCUCUGUUAUGUUGACAGCAGUUCAGAAAAUAGUAGUUGGAUGUUGGUCCUUGUUUACACCUGUGAUUUUAAUCUUGUAAUGCAAAUUGCAAGAUUAAAAUGGUAUUUUUUUAAUGUUAGUGUUGGAUUGUGUUAAUUAAAUUAAACUUAACAAAAUUAUUAAAUUGACUUCAAAGUCUGGACUCAAGAAUGAACUUUACA